GCACGAUGAUUGCCGCGAUGGCGCCGAUCUGUCAUUUGAGAGAAAGUUUUGAAGACUUCCGGUGUUCCGACCUGGCAAUGGAGUUCACAUCUCUGGCCUCUCCAGCCUGCCGCACAGCCGAGACCCCACGUACCACUGGGACAAUUGAUGGAGCAGUCCACUCCAUGCCACCCUGGUU
Long non-coding RNA from Nerophis lumbriciformis (worm pipefish), 178 nucleotides. RefSeq lists it as uncharacterized. Lineage: Eukaryota; Metazoa; Chordata; Actinopteri; Syngnathiformes; Syngnathidae. The record is from RefSeq and is a predicted model, not a curated record.